UACGUAGGGUGCGAGCGUUAAUCGGAAUUACUGGGCGUAAAGCGUGCGCAGGCGGUUCGCCAAGUCAGGUGUGAAAUCCCCGGGCUCAACCUGGGAACUGCAUCUGUGACUGCAUAGCUAGAGUACGGUAGAGGGGGAUGGAAUUCCGCGUGUAGCAGUGAAAUGCGUAGAUAUGCGGAGGAACACCGAUGGCGAAGGCAAUCCCCUGGACCUGUACUGACGCUCAUGCACGAAAGCGUGGGGAGCAAACAGG
Molecule: ribosomal RNA, 253 nt
Filed under: uncultured bacterium
Lineage: Bacteria
Description: partial 16S ribosomal RNA
Rfam family: Bacterial small subunit ribosomal RNA
Source: RNAcentral